CCUACGGGAGGCAGCAGUGAGGAAUAUUGGUCAAUGGACGAGAGUCUGAACCAGCCAAGUAGCGUGAAGGAUGACUGCCCUAUGGGUUGUAAACUUCUUUUAUAAAGGAAUAAAACGAGGCACGUGUGCCUUUUUGCAUGUACUUUAUGAAUAAGGAUCGGCUAACUCCGUACCAGCAGCCGCGGUAAUACGGAGGAUCCGAGCGUUAUCCGGAUUUAUUGGGGUUAAAGGUAGCGUAGAUGGGUUGUUAAGUCAGUUGUGAAAGUUUGCGGCUCAACCGUAAAAUUGCAAUUGAUACUGGCAGUCUUGAGUACAGUUGAGGUAGGCGGAAUUCGUGGUGUAGCGGUGAAAUGCUUAGAUAUCACGAAGAACCCCGAUUGCGAAGGCAGCUUACUAAACUGUGACUGACAUUGAUGCUCGAAAGUGUGGGUAGCAAACAGGAUUAGAUACCCCAGUAGUC
RNAcentral lists this ribosomal RNA (460 nucleotides) under uncultured bacterium. RNAcentral describes it as "partial 16S ribosomal RNA". It matches the Rfam family "Bacterial small subunit ribosomal RNA", at positions 338 to 795 of the family's 1533-position model. The record is from RNAcentral.